GAUGAACGCUGGCGGCGUGCUUACCCAUGCAAGUCGCACGGAAAGGCCUCUGCUUGCAGGGGUACUCGAGUGGCGAACGGGUGAGUAACACGUGGGUGAUCUGCCCUGCACUUCGGGAUAAGCCUGGGAAACUGGGUCUAAUACCGGAUAGGACAAUGGUUUGGAUGCUGUUGUGGAAAGUUUUUCGGUGUGGGAUGAGCUCGCGGCCUAUCAGCUUGUUGGUGGGGUAAUGGCCUACCAAGGCGUCGACGGGUAGCCGGCCUGAGAGGGUGUACGGCCACAUUGGGACUGAGAUACGGCCCAGACUCCUACGGGAGGCAGCAGUGGGGAAUAUUGCACAAUGGGCGCAAGCCUGAUGCAGCGACGCCGCGUGGGGGAUGACGGCCUUCGGGUUGUAAACUCCUUUCGCUAGGGACGAAGCGUUUUUGUGACGGUACCUGGAGAAGAAGCACCGGCUAACUACGUG
RNAcentral lists this ribosomal RNA (466 nucleotides) under uncultured bacterium. RNAcentral describes it as "partial 16S ribosomal RNA". It matches the Rfam family "Bacterial small subunit ribosomal RNA", at positions 28 to 507 of the family's 1533-position model. The record is from RNAcentral.